This 127-nucleotide small RNA is filed under the name Marmota monax (woodchuck). Lineage: Eukaryota; Metazoa; Chordata; Mammalia; Rodentia; Sciuridae. The record is from RNAcentral.
GCUGGGCAUAGUGGUGCAUGCCUAUAAUCCCAGUGGCUCAGGAGGCUGAGGCAGGGGGAUCAUGAGUUCAAAGGCAGCCUCGGCAUUUUAGUGAGGUCCUAUGCAAUUUAGUAAGACCCUGUCUCAA